RNAcentral lists this ribosomal RNA (253 nucleotides) under uncultured bacterium. Its description in RNAcentral is "partial 16S ribosomal RNA". It matches the Rfam family "Bacterial small subunit ribosomal RNA", at positions 524 to 776 of the family's 1533-position model. The record is from RNAcentral.
UACGGGGGGGGUAAGCGUUGUUCGGAAUUACUGGGCGUAAAGGGCUCGUAGGCGGCCAACUAAGUCGGACGUGAAAUCCCUCAGCUUAACUGGGGAACUGCGUCCGAUACUGGAUGGCUUGGAUUUGGGAGAGGGAUGCGGAAUUCCAGGUGUAGCGGUGAAAUGCGUAGAUAUCUGGAGGAACACCAGUGGCGAAAGCGGCUUCCUGGUCCAGCACCGACGUUCAGGCACGAAAGCGUGGGGAGCAAACAGG